Molecule: unclassified non-coding RNA, 268 nt
Filed under: Hevea brasiliensis (rubber tree)
Lineage: Eukaryota; Viridiplantae; Streptophyta; Magnoliopsida; Malpighiales; Euphorbiaceae
Source: RNAcentral
AUAAUUUAAUACAAAUUUCAGACACGAAAAAGCGAGCUCUAGUAUCCUGUAAAUCUCUUAACUUGAAUUUAUAAAAGAAUCAGGAAAGAACUAGCACCAAGCAGGAAAUAAAAAGCAAGAAGAAGCAAACCCAAAAUGCAAACACAUGAUCCUCCAGCCAGCCAUUAUCACUUACCCGCAGUCAAAACUAGAACACACUGAACAUCACAAGAUCCAAUAACUUAAAUUUCAUUCCUUUCAUUUACUUUCUCAUAAACCAAACAAAGGA